RNAcentral lists this ribosomal RNA (469 nucleotides) under Streptococcus intermedius. RNAcentral describes it as "bacterial SSU rRNA". It matches the Rfam family "Bacterial small subunit ribosomal RNA", at positions 38 to 484 of the family's 1533-position model. Lineage: Bacteria; Bacillati; Bacillota; Bacilli; Lactobacillales; Streptococcaceae. The record is from RNAcentral.
GGCGGCGUGCCUAAUACAUGCAAGUAGAACGCACAGGAUGCACCGUAGUUUACUACACCGUAUUCUUGAGUUGCGAACGGGUGAGUAACGCGUAGGUAACCUGCCUGGUAGCGGGGGAUAACUAUUGGAAACGAUAGCUAAUACCGCAUAAGAACAUUUACUGCAUGGUAGAUGUUUAAAAGGUGCAAAUGCAUCACUACCAGAUGGACCUGCGUUGUAUUAGCUAGUAAGUGAGGUAACGGCUCACCUAGGCGACGAUACAUAGCCGACCUGAGAGGGUGAUCGGCCACACUGGGACUGAGACACGGCCCAGACUCCUACGGGAGGCAGCAGUAGGGAAUCUUCGGCAAUGGGGGGAACCCUGACCGAGCAACGCCGCGUGAGUGAAGAAGGUUUUCGGAUCGUAAAGCUCUGUUGUUAAGGAAGAACGAGUGUGAGAAUGGAAAGUUCAUACUGUGACGGACUAACC